UCUCCGAGCUCAGUGAGGGAGAGAAAGCUCGGAGGCUUCCAUGUUGCCGCCAUGGGUUCCACCUCGAGUGCAUCGACAUGUGGUUUGGGUCAAAUUCCACUUGCCCUAUCUGCCGGAGGGCGGUGGAGUCAAAAAAUGUGAUUUUGGGGGGUUUGGAGCAGAGUUAUGCGAGAAAUGAGGGGGAGUUGCAGCAGGGGAUGGUGGUGUCGGUGGAUAAAUCAGGGGAAGGGAGCUCGAGUCUGGUUUGAGGAAGUCUGCUGGAUUUUUCUCUGCAAUUGAGUAGAAAUGGAGGAGGUACAAGAUCAUCAUUCGCCAGUCACUACUUAUUGGAUCAUCAGAUAUAAAGAUCGAGGAAUUGUAGAAAGUCAUAGCGUUUAAAUUUGAUGUACUUUUUUGAAUCUUUUAGGUUUAUGUAAGUCAUAAGUGUAUGUGUAAUAAAUGUAAAUUUAAUUUUCUAAAUAUAAAUGUCCAACGUAAUUAUUUUUUA
This is a long non-coding RNA of Phalaenopsis equestris, 487 nucleotides long. RefSeq lists it as uncharacterized. The transcript is spliced from 2 exons. The record is from RefSeq and is a predicted model, not a curated record. Lineage: Eukaryota; Viridiplantae; Streptophyta; Magnoliopsida; Asparagales; Orchidaceae.